UGCAUCGGCCGGGAAUCGAACCCGGGACGCCCGCGUGUCAGGCGAGCAUUCUACCACUGAACCACCGAUGG
RNAcentral lists this transfer RNA (71 nucleotides) under Cordylochernes scorpioides. RNAcentral's name for it is "tRNA-Val". The record is from RNAcentral. Lineage: Eukaryota; Metazoa; Arthropoda; Arachnida; Pseudoscorpiones; Chernetidae.